This 465-nucleotide ribosomal RNA is filed under the name uncultured bacterium. Its description in RNAcentral is "partial 16S ribosomal RNA". It matches the Rfam family "Bacterial small subunit ribosomal RNA", at positions 338 to 795 of the family's 1533-position model. The record is from RNAcentral.
CCUACGGGAGGCAGCAGUAGGGAAUCUUCCACAAUGGGCGAAAGCCUGAUGGAGCAACGUCGCGUGGGUGAAGAAGGUCCUCGGAUCGUAAAACCCUGUUGUUAGAGAAGAAAGUGCGUGAGAGUAACUGUUCACGUUUCGACGGUAUCUAACCAGAAAGCCACGGCUAACUACGUGACAGCAGCCGCGGUAAUACGUAGGUGGCAAACGUUAUCCGGAUUUAUUGGGUGUAAAGGGAACGGAGGCGGUCUUUUAAGUCUGAUGUGAAAGCUUUCGGCUUAACCGGAGUAGUGCAUUGGAAACUGGGAGACUUGAGUGCAGAAGAGGAGAGUGGAACUCCAGGUGUAGCGGUGAAAUGCGUAGAUAUAAGGAAGAACACCAGUGGCGAAGGCGGCUCUCUGGUCUGUAACUGACGCUGAGGUUCGAAAGCGUGGGUAGCAAACAGGAUUAGAUACCCGUGUAGUC